AAUCAUGCAAGUCUAGCGAGUCCCUUCGGGGGCUAGCGGCGGACGGGUGAGUAACACGUAUGCAACCUGCCUCUCAGACUGGGAUAACAUAGGGAAACUUAUGCUAAUACCGGAUAGGUUUUUGGAUCGCAUGAUCUGAAAAGAAAAGAUGGCUUUUCUCUAUCACUGGGAAAUGGGCCUGCGGCGCAUUACCUAGUUGGUGGGGUAACGGCCUACAAGGCGCGAGCGAAUUGCGUAGUCCGAACCUGAGAGGGUGAACCGGCCAUCAUGGGACUGAGAACACGGCCCAACUCCUACGGGAGGCAGGCAGUAGGGAAUUUUCUCACAAUGACGAAGUCUGAUUGGGCACGCCGCGUGACGAUGAAGGUCUUCCGGAUGAAGUUCUGUGUGUCAAGGGACGAACACGUACGUUCGAAUAGGGCGGUACCUUGACGGUACCUGACGAGAAAGCACGGCUAACUACGGCCAGCAGCCGCGGUAAUACGUAGGUGGCAAGCGUUGUCCCGGAUUUAUUGGGCGUAAAGCGCGCGCAGGCGGCUAUGUAAGUCUGGUGUUAAAGCCCGGGGCUCAACCCCGGUUCGCAUCGGAAACUGUGUAGCUUGAUGCAAAAGGAAAGCGGUAUUCCACGUGUACGUGAAAUGCGUAGAGAUGUGAGGAACACCAGUGGCGAAGGCGGCUUUCUGGUCUGUAACUGACGCUGAGCGCGAAAGCGUGGGGAGCAAAAGGAUUAGAUACCCUGGUAGCCACGCCGUAAACGAUGAGUGCUAGGUGUUAGGGGGUUUCAAUACCCUCAGUGCCGCAGCUACGCAAUAAGACAUUCCCCUGGGAGUACUGCUCGCAAGAGUGAACUCAAAGGUUGACCGGGGUGCCCGCAACAAGCGGUGACAUGUGUUUAUUCGAGUCACGCGAAGAACCUUACCAGGUCCUGACAUCCCGCUGACCGUCGGAGACAGAACUUCCCUUCGGGGCAGCGGACGGGGGCAUGUUGUCGUCAGCUCGUUCGUGCCGGGAGAUGUUGGUAAUCCCCGACAACGACCGCAACCCGUUUAUCUUUUAGUUGCCACAUUCAGUUGGCACUCAUAAGAGGACCUGCCCGUUCAACAAGACGGAGGAGGCGGGACUGACUCAAAUCAUCUGCCCCAUUAUAGGACUGGCUACACACCCGUGCACAGAGUGUGUUGGUACAACGGUAUCAUGCUACCUACUCGUAGAGACGCAAUCUCUUAACCAAUCUCGUUGAACACCUGCAGACUCGCUCAUGAAGUCGGAAUCGCUAGUAAUCGCGGAUCAGCAUGCCGCGGUGAAUACGUUCCCGGGCCUUGUACACACCGCCCGUCACACCACGGGAGUUUGCAACACCCGAAGUCGGUGAGGUAACCGCAAGGAGCCAGCCGCCGAAGGUGGGGUAGAUGACUGGGGGAAGUCGUAAACAA
RNAcentral lists this ribosomal RNA (1433 nucleotides) under Brevibacillus sp. RNAcentral's name for it is "partial 16S ribosomal RNA". It matches the Rfam family "Bacterial small subunit ribosomal RNA". The record is from RNAcentral. Lineage: Bacteria; Bacillati; Bacillota; Bacilli; Caryophanales; Paenibacillaceae.